RNAcentral lists this ribosomal RNA (480 nucleotides) under uncultured bacterium. RNAcentral's name for it is "partial 16S ribosomal RNA". It matches the Rfam family "Bacterial small subunit ribosomal RNA", at positions 28 to 507 of the family's 1533-position model. The record is from RNAcentral.
GACGAACGCUGGCGGCGUGCUUAACACAUGCAAGUCGAACGAUGAAGCAAAGAAUUGCAGCUUCGGCAGAAAUUCAUUUCGGAUUAGUGGCAGACGGGUGAGUAACGCGUGAGCAACCUACCUCUUACAAAGGGAUAGCCUCGGGAAACCGGGAUUAAUACCAUAUAACAUUGCGACGAAGCAUUUCGAUGCAAUCAAAGCUACGGCGGUAAGAGAUGGGCUCGCGUCCCAUUAACCAGAUGGUGAGGUAACGGCUCACCAUAGUAACGAUGGGUAACCGGACUGAGAGGGUGAACGGUCACACUGGAACUGAGACACGGUCCAGACUCCUACGGGAGGCAGCAGUGGGGAAUAUUGCACAAUGGAGGGAAAUCUGAUGCAGCGACGCCGCGUGAGUGAUGAAGGAAUUCGUUUCGUAAAACUCUGUUCUAUGGGAAGAAAAGGACUGUACCAUAGGAGAAAGCUCCGGCUAAAUACGUG